CUCUGUAAUAGAGUCAAUUGAGCAGACAAUGACGUUGCUUCUGUUUGCAGUGUCUGCACUUUCCGUUCAAGUUCAGCUAUGUAUCGCAUUUUCCUUUCCUUUGACCUUGCAGCAGAUUGUCUAUUUGCCCAAAUCCUUUUUGCACGUUUGGGAUCAAUAAGAGCAAGUUCAGCAAGCUUUGCAGCAGACACGGCUUUCUUAGAAUCAGCUGGAGAGACGUCCUCUGCACCAGAUAUGAGCAUCUCUGGCUUGAUAGUGGUCGAUCCAUCCAUUGACUGGCUGUGUUGAUGCCUAACUCUAGGCCUUUCACUAGGGCCAACACUGACAUUAGCUGGUACUGCUGGUGCUGGUGCCGCCGCUGGUGCUGGAGUUGAUGACUCCCCCAAUUGAAAAACCGAAGUAGCAGAGGUUGAAUUAAACUUAUCCAUAUCAAGGUACAUUGACAACAAAUCUUCCUCAGUCUCAUCGGAGAAAGAAGGCCCAUCUGCACCACCUACUACGCCAAGAUCACUAUCAAAGCUAAUAUCAUCAGGGAGAGUGAGAAUCUCUGAAUGAGCACGACGGUGACCUAUAUUCUUAGGUGGGUUAUCAGGCAUUCGGCUAAUGUCAUGACUAAAGCGGCUAGCAUCUGAUCCAUGACCGAAAUGACUAGGGUCUGAACUAUUACCUGGAGCCAUCGGAGGAAAUGCAGACGAUGAUGGCUCAGGGUUCACAUUAAAAGAACCAGGCGGUGAAAAACUAGAGAAACGACUAGACGGAGGUGGCAAACCACCACUAUGACCUGGGGAUUUAUCCUUAUACAUCCACAGAAAGCUCAGAACCCACUCAGAAAACCACAAGUAUAAAACGCCUAAAACAGAUUUUGCACAGACCAGAAGGGAAAACGCCAAUAGGCUAUACUAUUAAGGUAUGCACCACCCAAAAUCCUAACACUUGGAGUGCAAACGAACCCUAGGGCACAGAAAUUACAGUCUCUUCAAAUGAAUGAUUAUAAAACACUAUAAUACAUAAAUGAUACUCCAAUACAAGAGAUUAACCGUUACAAAUCUCACAAAAACUUUAGAUUG
Molecule: unclassified non-coding RNA, 1067 nt
Filed under: Hevea brasiliensis (rubber tree)
Lineage: Eukaryota; Viridiplantae; Streptophyta; Magnoliopsida; Malpighiales; Euphorbiaceae
Source: RNAcentral